Molecule: ribosomal RNA, 426 nt
Filed under: uncultured Alkaliphilus sp.
Lineage: Bacteria; Bacillati; Bacillota; Clostridia; Peptostreptococcales; Natronincolaceae
Description: bacterial SSU rRNA
Rfam family: Bacterial small subunit ribosomal RNA
Source: RNAcentral
UGGGGAAUAUUGGGCAAUGGGCGAAAGCCUUACCCAGCAAUGCCGCGUGAGUGAUGAAGGUCUUCGGAUUGUAAAGCUCUUUGAUUAGGGACGAAGAAAGUGACGGUACCUAAAGAACAAGCCCCGGCUAACUACGUGCCAGCAGCCGCGGUAAUACGUAGGGGGCAAGCGUUGUCCGGAAUGACUGGGCGUAAAGGGUGUGUAGGCGGUUUUACAAGUUAGAUGUGAAAUACCCAGGGCUUAACUCGGGUGCUGCAUCUAAGACUGUGUUUCUUGAGUGCAGGAGAGGAAAGCGGAAUUCCUAGUGUAGCGGUGAAAUGCGUAGAUAUUAGGAGGAACACCAGUGGCGAAGGCGGCUUUCUGGACUGUAACUGACGUUGAGGCACGAAAGUGUGGGGAGCAAACAGGAUUAGAUACCCUGGUAGU